RNAcentral lists this ribosomal RNA (522 nucleotides) under Bifidobacterium longum subsp. suillum. Its description in RNAcentral is "bacterial SSU rRNA". It matches the Rfam family "Bacterial small subunit ribosomal RNA", at positions 161 to 698 of the family's 1533-position model. Lineage: Bacteria; Bacillati; Actinomycetota; Actinomycetes; Bifidobacteriales; Bifidobacteriaceae. The record is from RNAcentral.
UGGUAAUGCCGGAUGCUCCAGUUGAUCGCAUGGUUUGUUGGGAAAGCUUUCGCGGUAUGGGAUGGGGUCGCGUCCUAUCAGCUUGACGGCGGGGUAACGGCCCACCGUGGCUUCGACGGGUAGCCGGCCUGAGAGGGCGACCGGCCACAUUGGGACUGAGAUACGGCCCAGACUCCUACGGGAGGCAGCAGUGGGGAAUAUUGCACAAUGGGCGCAAGCCUGAUGCAGCGACGCCGCGUGAGGGAUGGAGGCCUUCGGGUUGUAAACCUCUUUUAUCGGGGAGCAAGCGAGAGUGAGUUUACCCGUUGAAUAAGCACCGGCUAACUACGUGCCAGCAGCCGCGGUAAUACGUAGGGUGCAAGCGUUAUCCGGAAUUAUUGGGCGUAAAGGGCUCGUAGGCGGUUCGUCGCGUCCGGUGUGAAAGUCCAUCGCUUAACGGUGGAUCCGCGCCGGGUACGGGCGGGCUUGAGUGCGGUAGGGGAGACUGGAAUUCCCGGUGUAACGGUGGAAUGUGUAGAUAUC